Molecule: long non-coding RNA, 1823 nt
Organism: Rhododendron vialii
Lineage: Eukaryota; Viridiplantae; Streptophyta; Magnoliopsida; Ericales; Ericaceae
Exons: 2
Source: RefSeq, a predicted model, not a curated record
GUUCAGCUGAUUUAGUGAUGUUUGGGAUAUGUGAUUCAUGUAUUUUCUUGUUUAAAUCAUUUAGGAUAUAUCAAUAGUUUAAACAAGUUAAAUAUACACGAUUGUUCUCAUUUUCCGAAGGACAAUCUAAACUCUUCCACACCUUGUUCCACUUCCUAGUUUCUGUAUGAUACAUAUCAAUUGUAGUUCCGGUUUAGUACCCCGAAGCUCUAUAAUUUGGUGUUUAGCUACUUCAAUUUCAUACUCUUUUAAAGACUCAACACUAGCAUGCAAUUUUUUUUUAAGUGCUUCAUUUUUCUUCAUGAGUUAGUUACAGAUGUCGGAGAUCAUUCAUCUCUUUUUCUUAGGCCAUUAGCUUGUUUGGAAAGACAACACUAUGAGUCUUGAUUUGAUAAACACUAGCUGGAUCCAAUAGUUCUCGCUUCAAAUCAACAUUAGCCUUAGUCAACUUGGUAUUCUUUUCAUAAACCUUUUCACAAGUGAGGUUUAAGGUAUCAUCACCUCCAUCACCGUCUGACCUUCAAAAUUAGACUUGCAUAUUCGAAUGUGGUUUCGCAAGUUUAUUAAUUGAAAGGGGUGGUGGGAGGAGUAAAAUUAUGGUCACCUUCUCUCUAGUUUCCCCACGAGUAAUCCUUCUAGGCAUAGCUUUCAUAGGUUUUCUAUUCCACUCAGUUGAAGAUUGGUCAGUUAACCCAUUCUAGCAGUAGGCUUGACUAAGUCAUGUAAGCCGAACACGUUCUAUAUCUUCCAAAAUUUUGAAUGUCUAUCAAUCCAAAAAAUCCAUUUCAGCAGAUAAAGUUUGGCCUCGUUCUUUGAACCAAGCGUUAAAAAACUAAGAGCAACCCACCUAAAACAAAAUUUAAAACCGUAUUUUUUCUAGGGUUUGAUUUGCUUGUGAAAUAAAACAAAAUUUAAAAACGUAUUUUUUCUAGGGUUCGAUUUGCUUGUGACGAUAAUGCUAAUAAAAACUACCUCAGUGAAGCAACUACAACCCUAAUUGAAGCCAUCUAAUUAUGCAAUAUACUUAAAAUGAUAAACAAUUGAAAGCAUCCCACAUGAAUCAGGUGGAAACCAAAGGUGGGAGAAAACCACGAGAGAGCAAAUCAAGCCGUACGGAAUUCACGAGUUACAUCCCAAGCAUAAGCUCCACUUGCAGAGAGCACACACAUUGCAUUUGUCUUGGUCCUCUAGUACCCCAACCACUCAGAAUACACCAAGCCUCCAAACCUUGAGUCCUUUGUUGGGAACCUCCUCGAAGAGCCUAAAGGUUGGCCAUUGGGUAACCUACUGAAGGACUUCAAUGUAAAGCAUUGAGAUUUGUUGGAGUUUGUCCCACAUCGGUUAAUUAUCUUCUCCAAUUAUCUUCUCCAAAACUAGUAUAUUAGCUUGGGCGGCCUCUCCACUCUUUGACAAUUGGUUUGGAGUUGGUCAGAGCUAGGGUUUUGGAGGCUUUUUUCUUUUGUUUGUGCCAUAGUUGCACUUUCUUUCGUUUGGAGAGGGAGUAUUUUGCAGCUUUGGUAUUGGGUAGGGCACCCACAUCAUGUCACCUAUUAUGAUCUGAUGGGCUAUUUGUAGAAACUACGGCGGACCAUAACCGAUUGUCCAGACUGGACUCAAUUGAUCAGAUUUCCCCAUUGUGCUCGGCUCUCCAUAAUUGAUGAAGCCAAAGUGAUAGCACUUCCCCCUUCGAUCGGGUUCCCUGUACUUCGGUUAUUUUUGGAAAACCAUCUUAUCUCUCUCUGCUUUGCUCUGGUUCUUGAAAACUACUGGUCUGAGGAUGGAUAAACAACGAACAUAUCUUGAACGAUUACGUCAGUGAAAAA